GUGGGGAAUCUUGCGCAAUGGGCGAAAGCCUGACGCAGCCAUGCCGCGUGAAUGAUGAAGGUCUUAGGAUUGUAAAAUUCUUUCACCGGGGACGAUAAUGACGGUACCCGGAGAAGAAGCCCCGGCUAACUUCGUGCCAGCAGCCGCGGUAAUACGAAGGGGGCUAGCGUUGCUCGGAAUUACUGGGCGUAAAGGGCGCGUAGGCGGACAGUUUAGUCAGAGGUGAAAGCCCAGGGCUCAACCUUGGAAUUGCCUUUGAUACUGGCUGUCUAGAGUACGGGAGAGGUGAGUGAAACUCCGAGUGUAGAGGUGAAAUUCGUAGAUAUUCGGAAGAACACCAGUGGAGAAGGCGACUCACUGGCCCGUUACUGACGCUGAGGUGCGAAAGCGUGGGGAGCAAACAGGAUUAGAUACCCUAGUAGUCC
Molecule: ribosomal RNA, 425 nt
Filed under: uncultured bacterium
Lineage: Bacteria
Description: partial 16S ribosomal RNA
Rfam family: Bacterial small subunit ribosomal RNA
Source: RNAcentral